CAGUAGCCGCGGGAAUACGUAGGGCGCAAGCGUUAUCCGGAAUUAUUGGGCGUAAUGAGCUCGUAGGCGGUUUGUCGCGUCUGCCGUGAAAGUCCGGGGCUCAACCCCGGAUCUGCGGUGGGUACGGGCAGACUAGAGUGAUGUAGGGGAGACUGGAAUUCCUGGUGUAGCGGUGAAAUGCGCAGAUAUCAGGAGGAACACCGAUGGCGAAGGCAGGUCUCUGGGCAUUAACUGACGCUGAGGAGCGAAAGCAUGGGGAGCGAACAGGAUUAGAUACCCCCGUAGUCCCUGUCUCUUAUAC
Molecule: ribosomal RNA, 301 nt
Filed under: uncultured bacterium
Lineage: Bacteria
Description: partial 16S ribosomal RNA
Rfam family: Bacterial small subunit ribosomal RNA
Source: RNAcentral